AACGAACGCUGGCGGCGCGCCUAAUACAUGCAAGUCGAGCGAGAAGACGUAGCAAUACGUUUGUAAAGCGGCGAACGGGUGAGGAAUACAUGGGUAACCUACCCUCGAGUGGGGAAUAACUAGCCGAAAGGUUAGCUAAUACCGCGUACGCUCCUUGGACUUCGGUUCAGGGAGGAAAGCGAUACCGCGGGUAUCGCGCUCUUGGAUGGGCUCAUGUCCUAUCAGCUUGUUGGUGAGGUAACGGCUCACCAAGGCUUCGACGGGUAGCUGGUCUGAGAGGACGAUCAGCCACACUGGCACUGCGACACGGGCCAGACUCCUACGGGAGGCAGCAGUAAGGAAUAUUGCGCAAUGGGCGAAAGCCUGACGCAGCGACGCCGCGUGGGGGAUGAAGGUCUUCGGAUUGUAAACCCCUUUCGGGAGGGAAGAUGGAACGAGCAAUCGUUCGGACGGUACC
RNAcentral lists this ribosomal RNA (457 nucleotides) under uncultured bacterium. RNAcentral's name for it is "bacterial SSU rRNA". It matches the Rfam family "Bacterial small subunit ribosomal RNA", at positions 29 to 479 of the family's 1533-position model. The record is from RNAcentral.